This 537-nucleotide ribosomal RNA is filed under the name uncultured bacterium. RNAcentral's name for it is "bacterial SSU rRNA". It matches the Rfam family "Bacterial small subunit ribosomal RNA", at positions 779 to 1319 of the family's 1533-position model. The record is from RNAcentral.
AAUAGAACCCGGUAGUCCACGCCGUAAACGAUGAAUACUAGGUGUAGGAGGUAUCGACCCCUUCUGUGCCGCAGUUAACACAAUAAGUAUUCCGCCUGGGGAGUACGAUCGCAAGAUUAAAACUCAAAGGAAUUGACGGGGGCCCGCACAAGCAGCGGAGCAUGUGGUUUAAUUCGAAGCAACGCGAAGAACCUUACCUAGACUUGACAUCUCCUGAAUUACCCUUAACCGGGGAAGCCCUUCGGGGCAGGAAGACAGGUGGUGCAUGGUUGUCGUCAGCUCGUGUCGUGAGAUGUUGGGUUAAGUCCCGCAACGAGCGCAACCCUUAUCAUUAGUUGCUACCAUUAAGUUGAGCACUCUAGUGAGACUGCCACGGUUAACGUGGAGGAAGGUGGGGAUGACGUCAAAUCAUCAUGCCCCUUAUGUCUAGGGCUACACACGUGCUACAAUGGUGAGUACAAAGAGAUGCAAUACCGUGAGGUGGAGCCAAACUCAAAAACUCAUCCCAGUUCGGAUUGCAGGCUGAAACUCGCCUAC